This 301-nucleotide ribosomal RNA is filed under the name uncultured bacterium. RNAcentral's name for it is "partial 16S ribosomal RNA". It matches the Rfam family "Bacterial small subunit ribosomal RNA", at positions 509 to 809 of the family's 1533-position model. The record is from RNAcentral.
CAGUCGCCGCGGGAAUACGAAGGGGGCUAGCGUUGUUCGGAUUUACUGGGCGUAAAGCGCACGUAGGCGGACUUUUAAGUCAGGGGUAAAAUCCCGGGGCUCAACCCCGGAACUGCCUUUGAUACUGGAAGUCUUGAGUAUGGUAGAGGUGAGUGGAAUUCCGAGUGUAGAGGUGAAAUUCGUAGAUAUUCGGAGGAACACCAGUGGCGAAGGCGGCUCACUGGACCAUUACUGACGCUGAGGUGCGAAAGCGUGGGGAGCAAACAGGAUUAGAUACCCCAGUAGUCCCUGUCUCUUAUAA